RNAcentral lists this ribosomal RNA (497 nucleotides) under uncultured bacterium. RNAcentral's name for it is "partial 16S ribosomal RNA". It matches the Rfam family "Bacterial small subunit ribosomal RNA", at positions 28 to 507 of the family's 1533-position model. The record is from RNAcentral.
GAUGAACGCUGGCGGCGUGCCUAAUACAUGCAAGUCGAGCGAACGGACGAGAAGCUUGCUCUUCUGAUGUUAGCGGCGGACGGGUGAGUAACACGUGGAUAACCUACCUAUAAGACUGGGAUAACUUCGGGAAACCGGAGCUAAUACCGGAUAAUAUUUUGAACCGCAUGGUUCAAAAGUGAAAGACGGUCUUGCUGUCACUUAUAGAUGGACCCGCGCUGCAUUAGCUAGUUGGUAAGGUAACGGCUUACCAAGGCAACGAUGCAUAGCCGACCUGAGAGGGUGAUCGGCCACACUGGAACUGAGACACGGUCCAGACUCCUACGGGAGGCAGCAGUAGGGAAUCUUCCGCAAUGGGCGAAAGCCUGACGGAGCAACGCCGCGUGAGUGAUGAAGGUCUUCGGAUCGUAAAACUCUGUUAUUAGGGAAGAACAUAUGUGUAAGUAACUGUGCACAUCUUGACGGUACCUAAUCAGAAAGCCACGGUUAACUACGUG